GACGGACGCUGGCGGCGUGCCUAAUACAUGCAAGUUGAGCGCUGAAGGUUGGUACUUGUACCAACUGGAUGAGCAGCGAACGGGUGAGUAACGCGUGGGGAAUCUGCCUUUGAGCGGGGGACAACAUUUGGAAACGAAUGCUAAUACCGCAUAAAAACUUUAAACACAAGUUUUAAGUUUGAAAGAUGCAAUUGCAUCACUCAAAGAUUAUCCCGCGUUGUAUUAGCUAGUUGGUGAGGUAAAGGCUCACCAAGGCGAUGAUACAUAGCCGACCUGAGAGGGUGAUCGGCCACAUUGGGACUGAGACACGGCCCAAACUCCUACGGGAGGCAGCAGUAGGGAAUCUUCGGCAAUGGACGAAAGUCUGACCGAGCAACGCCGCGUGAGUGAAGAAGGUUUUCGGAUCGUAAAACUCUGUUGGUAGAGAAGAACGUUGGUGAGAGUGGAAAGCUCAUCAAGUGACGGUAACUACCCAGAAAGGGACGGCUAACUACGUG
This 497-nucleotide ribosomal RNA is filed under the name uncultured bacterium. RNAcentral's name for it is "partial 16S ribosomal RNA". It matches the Rfam family "Bacterial small subunit ribosomal RNA", at positions 28 to 507 of the family's 1533-position model. The record is from RNAcentral.